ACGUAGGGUGCGAGCGUUAAUCGGAAUUACUGGGCGUAAAGCGUGCGCAGGCGGUGAUGUAAGACAGAUGUGAAAUCCCCGGGCUCAACCUGGGAACUGCAUUUGUGACUGCAUCGCUGGAGUGCGGCAGAGGGGGAUGGAAUUCCGCGUGUAGCAGUGAAAUGCGUAGAUAUGCGGAGGAACACCGAUGGCGAAGGCAGGUCUCUGGGCCACUACUGACGCUGAGAAGCGAAAGCAUGGGGAGCGAACGGGA
RNAcentral lists this ribosomal RNA (253 nucleotides) under uncultured prokaryote. RNAcentral's name for it is "partial 16S ribosomal RNA". It matches the Rfam family "Bacterial small subunit ribosomal RNA", at positions 525 to 777 of the family's 1533-position model. The record is from RNAcentral.